RNAcentral lists this ribosomal RNA (255 nucleotides) under uncultured bacterium. RNAcentral describes it as "partial 16S ribosomal RNA". It matches the Rfam family "Bacterial small subunit ribosomal RNA", at positions 333 to 605 of the family's 1533-position model. The record is from RNAcentral.
UUGCGCCUACGGGAGGCAGCAGUGGGGAAUAUUGCACAAUGGGGGGAACCCUGAUGCAGCGACGCCGCGUGGGUGAAGAAGCGCCUCGGCGCGUAAAGCCCUGUCAGCAGGGAAGAAAAUGACGGUACCUGAAGAAGAAGCCCCGGCUAACUACGUGCCAGCAGCCGCGGUAAUACGUAGGGGGCAAGCGUUAUCCGGAUUUACUGGGUGUAAAGGGGGCGCAGACGGCGAUGCAAGCCAGGAUUCAAAGCCCGG